Pelobates cultripes (western spadefoot toad) is the source of this 816-nucleotide non-coding RNA. The record is from the annotation of a GenBank genome assembly. Lineage: Eukaryota; Metazoa; Chordata; Amphibia; Anura; Pelobatidae.
GGGCUCCAUGGGAUUCCUAUCUGGGGUAUAACACAUUCAAACAAAUCUACUGAACCCCAGGCAGAAAAGCACGAAUACAGCUUUUCUGCAGGCAAAAAUAAAGUCUUUAAAAAGGGGGCCAUAGUCCAAAGGCAGCAGGCGAGCAACCAGGCUUCUCCAAUGCAAUGUGGCGAGAUUGGUCUCGUCACAGUCUUCAUGUAGGAAGCUGAAGAAAGAGCAUGGGGGGAGGGUUGACUAUGUUAACAAAGGACAUCCAGUAUGCACAGAACUGACAUUAAGCAGCCUCUUGGUCCUCCAGGCUGGCUAAUGACUCCUCCGUGAUGCUGCUGUGCGUAGUUACAGCUCUGGGGUUAAACUUUGUUUUGCGGUGAAACGCUGCACAGUUUUUUAAAGGUAUAGUGAUGGCCAAGUGUAUGGCCAGGUACUUUAUAGUAAAGUGUGUCCCAGCAUAUGUGAGAUGGUAAGGAAGGCCCCCGGCCAUUAGAAUCAGGGAAAGAGCUUCACCAAUGGGCAUUGAAUAUGACAAUAAUGUGCACCAGAAAUCCGGUCCAUGAAAUGGCAGCCAUUGUUGAAGUAUGUUGUUGAUGAGUUCAGGGAGGGGCAUGGUGUAAGGAAAUGUGUCUGCAACGGUAGGUGAGUCUAUUGUAUAAGUAGUGCUGGUUUGUAAAGUUCAUGCUCGCUCUGUAAAUUUUAAUGCUAAAGCCAAACAAAGUUGCCCACUGAUGCAAAGUCUUGUCUCUUUGGAGAAAAAGAGACUGAGAAAUAAAGUUGCAUUUUGUUACAGAGAAAUAAAGUUGCAUUUUGUUACAGAGAAUU